GAGGCUUUAGGGGUUAGUUAUCAUAAUUUAGAAGUUAGGGGUUAGUGAUUAUGAUUUAGGGGUUAGGGAUUAUGGUCUAGGGGUUAGUGAUUAUGGUCUAGGAGUUAGGGGGUAGUGAUUAUGGUCUAGGAGUUAGGGGUUAGUGAUUAUGGUCUAGGGGUUAGGGGUUAGUGAUUAUGAUCUAGGAGUUAGGCGUUAGUGAUUAUGAUCUAGGGGUUAGGGGUUAGUGAUUAUGGUCUAGGGGUUAGGGGUUAGUGAUUAUGGUCUAGGGGUUAGGGGUUAGUGAUUAUGGUCUAGGGGUU
Ictalurus punctatus (channel catfish) is the source of this 302-nucleotide long non-coding RNA. The record is from Ensembl. NCBI's taxonomy places the organism in Eukaryota, Metazoa, Chordata, Actinopteri, Siluriformes, Ictaluridae.